GACGAACGCUGGCGGCGUGCUUAACACAUGCAAGUCGAACGGAAAGGCCCUGCUUUUGUGGGGUGCUCGAGUGGCGAACGGGUGAGUAACACGUGAGUAACCUGCCCUUGACUUUGGGAUAACUUCAGGAAACUGGGGCUAAUACCGGAUAGGAGCUCCUGCUGCAUGGUGGGGGUUGGAAAGUUUCGGCGGUUGGGGAUGGACUCGCGGCUUAUCAGCUUGUUGGUGGGGUAGUGGCUUACCAAGGCUUUGACGGGUAGCCGGCCUGAGAGGGUGACAGGCCACAUUGGGACUGAGAUACGGCCCAGACUCCUACGGGAGGCAGCAGUGGGGAAGAUUGCACAAUGAGCGGAAGCCGGAUGCAGCGACUCCGCGUGCGGGAUGACGGCCUUCGGGUUGUAAACCGCUUUCGCCUGUGACUAAGCGUGAGUGACGGUAAUGGGUAAAGAAGCACCGGCUAACUACGUG
RNAcentral lists this ribosomal RNA (468 nucleotides) under uncultured bacterium. RNAcentral's name for it is "partial 16S ribosomal RNA". It matches the Rfam family "Bacterial small subunit ribosomal RNA", at positions 28 to 507 of the family's 1533-position model. The record is from RNAcentral.